Molecule: ribosomal RNA, 418 nt
Filed under: uncultured bacterium
Lineage: Bacteria
Description: bacterial SSU rRNA
Rfam family: Bacterial small subunit ribosomal RNA
Source: RNAcentral
AGGAAUAUUGGACAAUGGGCGGGAGCCUGAUCCAGCCAUGCCGCGUGCAGGAAGACGGCCCUAUGGGUUGUAAACUGCUUUUGUACGGGAAGAAACACCCCCUCGUGAGGGGGCUUGACGGUACCGUAAGAAUAAGGAUCGGCUAACUACGUGCCAGCAGCCGCGGUAAUACGGAGGAUCCAAGCGUUAUCCGGAAUCAUUGGGUUUAAAGGGUCCGUAGGUGGAUGGUUAAGUCAGAGGUGAAAUCCUGCAGCUCAACUGUAGAAUUGCCUUUGAUACUGGCCAUCUUGAAUCGAUGUGAAGUGGUUAGAAUAUGUAGUGUAGCGGUGAAAUGCAUAGAUAUUACAUAGAAUACCGAUUGCGAAGGCAGAUCACUAACAUCGUAUUGACACUGAUGGACGAAAGCGUGGGGAGCGAA